RNAcentral lists this transfer RNA (53 nucleotides) under Argyroneta aquatica (water spider). Its description in RNAcentral is "tRNA-Ile". The record is from RNAcentral. Lineage: Eukaryota; Metazoa; Arthropoda; Arachnida; Araneae; Dictynidae.
AUUUAUAUGCCUGAAUAAAAGGGUUAAUUUGAUAGAUUAAAUAAUGAGAAAUU